GGUGUGAUCAGCUGAAGAGCCGAGCACAAUGGAUAUACAUGUGAUGGAUGAUGUUUCCCUCCAUAAUAAGGAGAGGGUAUUUAGUUCCUUUUCUUCCUGUAUAUAAUAUUAGAUAGAGAUUGUGGAUCAUAUAUAUCUUCAGUACAUCACAUGAAUCUCCUUGCAUGAGAUUUUACUGAUAUCUAUGGUAGUUCAAGUUUUUGUAUAAUCGGAAAUAUUGUGGAAGCUUACUUGAGUUUUUCCUUGUAAAUACUAUUUUUGACCCCUUUAGAUGGCAGCCAUAUGGGCAUUAUAUUACGAGGGUUCAU
Molecule: long non-coding RNA, 308 nt
Filed under: Setaria viridis
Lineage: Eukaryota; Viridiplantae; Streptophyta; Magnoliopsida; Poales; Poaceae
Description: long non-coding RNA (SVIR_LNC007759)
Source: RNAcentral